This 72-nucleotide transfer RNA is filed under the name Candidatus Roizmanbacteria bacterium RIFCSPHIGHO2_12_FULL_44_10. RNAcentral's name for it is "tRNA-Arg". It matches the Rfam family "tRNA". From Rfam's summary of the family: Transfer RNA (tRNA) molecules are approximately 80 nucleotides in length. Their secondary structure includes four short double-helical elements and three loops (D, anti-codon, and T loops). Lineage: Bacteria; Candidatus Roizmaniibacteriota. The record is from RNAcentral.
GUUCCCGUAGCUCAACGGAUAGAGCAGUCCCCUCCUAAGGGACCGAUGGUGGUUCAAUUCCGCCCGGGAACA